UGAGACAGGUGCUGCAUGGCUGUCGUCAGCUCGUGUUGUGAAAUGUUGGGUUAAGUCCCGCAACGAGCGCAACCCUUAUCCUUUGUUGCCAGCGGUUCGGCCGGGAACUCAAAGGAGACUGCCAGUGAUAAACUGGAGGAAGGUGGGGAUGACGUCAAGUCAUCAUGGCCCUUACGAGUAGGGCUACACACGUGCUACAAUGGCAUAUACAAAGAGAAGCGACCUCGCGAGAGCAAGCGGACCUCAUAAAGUAUGUCGUAGUCCGGAUUGGAGUCUGCAACUCGACUCCAUGAAGUCGGAAUCGCUAGUAAUCGUAGAUCAGAAUGCUACGGUGAAUACGUUCCCGGGCCUUGUACACACCGCCCGUCACACCAUGGGAGUGGGUUGCAAAAGAAGUAGGUAGCUUAACCUUCGGGAGGGCGCUUACCACUUUGUGAUUCAUGACUGGGGUGAAGUCGUAACAAGGUAACCGUAGGGGAACCUGCGGUUGGAUCACCUCCUUA
This 503-nucleotide ribosomal RNA is filed under the name Kluyvera ascorbata. RNAcentral's name for it is "bacterial SSU rRNA". It matches the Rfam family "Bacterial small subunit ribosomal RNA", at positions 1030 to 1533 of the family's 1533-position model. RNAcentral also lists the same sequence under 4 other names. Lineage: Bacteria; Pseudomonadati; Pseudomonadota; Gammaproteobacteria; Enterobacterales; Enterobacteriaceae. The record is from RNAcentral.